RNA transcript from Rhododendron vialii, 2053 nucleotides. RefSeq lists it as uncharacterized. The record is from RefSeq and is a predicted model, not a curated record. NCBI's taxonomy places the organism in Eukaryota, Viridiplantae, Streptophyta, Magnoliopsida, Ericales, Ericaceae. The transcript has 4 exons.
AAUUGAUUUCAUGAGGAUAAGGAAAAACAGAAAACGAAUAUUCUACUUAUCCAUUCUCUUGCAAUAAGAGUUCUUAGUCAUCACCAUGUAGUAUUGAGUUUACAAUGCAGAGAAAAGCAUUAUUGUCGUGUUCCUCUAUUUAAUCGUUUCUUAUUCAAAUUCUUACUAAAUUCAGCUCUGGUGGUAGAUGCCUUCCUAUAGAGUAUGUAGACAAAGUUGGAGAACUAGCAACGAAGUACGGGCUGAAACUUCACAUUUACGGUGGCCGUAUAUUUCACGCAUCAGUGGUGAUUAUUUGUUUUCCAUUUUUUGCAGGUUCUCUUCCUGCAUGCAUAUGCUACAGCUUAUAUUAUCUGCAAUGCUUUGUAGGAUUGUAAGAUUUUAACGAGAAUGUGGCUUGUAGAAAUGGAUUUAAGUGGCAUAUACUUUACCAGCACACUUUGUUUAGUAAAUGCAUAUAUGCAAACUAUCUGCAUUUUUUACUUCAUAAAGUUUGUUUUCCGGGCACUUGGAGUUCUUGUUCACAGGCUUGUGCAAGCUGCUGAUUCAGUUUCGGUAGGAUUGCAUGGUGUUCAGCUUUCUGAGUUAUCUUUAUCUCUCUAACUUUUGAAUUCUCUCUUUUUGUCAUUGCUCAAAACAUUCAGUGCUUAAUUUUGAACCGUUAAUUUAUUCACACUUGAAGCGAAUUUACAGGUUCAAUCCAUAAUUUUACAAAAUCAGACAAUACAAUGUGGCAUUUUCACAUUCUAUCUAUUUUGUUAUAGCUCCACUGUCUCUUCUUUUUUUAAUAUUAAUCCCAAAAUCCUGCAAUCCAGGUCAGUCUAUCUCAAGGUCUAGGUGCUCCAGUGGGAACUUGUCAUUGUUGGUUCAAAAGAAUUUAUAGCAAGGAUGUAGCUGAUAUUUUGGCAAAUGGUUACGUACAACACGAACUUGAUACAUGGCUCUUAUGUGGUUUAUUAGGCAAAGACUCUCAACUCUCAAGAAGACCUUAAGCGGUGGGAUGAGACAAGUCGGCAUCUUGUACGCCGCCGCUUUAGUUGGACUGCAAGAGAAUGUUGCAAAACUAAAGCAUGGUCACAAAAAUGCCAAGACUCUAGCCGGUAGACUACCAAUUACUUGUUUGUGAGAAACCAAUGGGCAUGGCUGUGCAAAUUUUGGCAUGAUUUUUUCAAUUGAGUCCCAAAGUUGAUUCUCCUCCAGUUAUGUUUCUGUGGGUACUUCGGUCUUUUCGUAGCAUUUGCAAGGAUUACCAUUAUCCCUUUCCAGACUUUUAACAUUUUCCUUCCAUGUCCUUUUUUAGCACUUGAUUUGGUCGGUUUGUGCUGCUUUUUAUGAGGGUAUGGAUGUAAAAUUGGGGUGGUGACAACCUGGUGUUGGUUAGUCAAUGCUGGUACAGUAGUUGGGGUGUGUAGACGAUGGCAGAGCUGCGGCAGUGAUGUUUGCAGCUGUAGAUGCUCAUGUCGCCGGUGAAACUCCCCAUCUCCAGAUCCCCUUGCAUCACAAUUCCUCCAGUCUCAGUCCGACAUUGUUUCUUGAGUCACCUGUUCUCCUCUCCAAUAUCAAGGUUAGGUAUCCAAUCGUUGGCGUCGGCUGCCGGUAUCAUGCCAGUGCCGGCAAGUAAGAGAGACGAUCCGCUGGUGCUGCAACAUGAUGAGAUCCAUGGCGCAUUCUGUCACUGCAAGAGAUCGUAAAACUCCACGAGAGGUGGUGUUCUACACUCCGUGGGCGACACUAGGACGUCGGAGUAGAGAGAGAAGAAAGUGACGGAAGCCAUGGGCGGAUUGUACUGGAGGAGGAGGAGCGACUCUCUGAUCGUAUUACCAAUCAUCUUUGUUGCAAGUGCUUGUAUUUUGUUUGCACACAAAGCUAAUUCUUUUGUAAUCAAUCGUUACGCUUUUCAGAGUUUUAUAUGUUUAUUUUUGUGAUUGGUUUAUCAAAUAUUAUGGAUGUCUCACACCGUAUAUCAGUUGAGGAUUUUAAAUAACCUCUUUCAAUUCUUGUACAUAAAUCAUCAGUCAAUUAAAGUGUGGGAUGAGUAAGAUUGCUAAUACUA